This 591-nucleotide long non-coding RNA is filed under the name Olea europaea subsp. europaea. Lineage: Eukaryota; Viridiplantae; Streptophyta; Magnoliopsida; Lamiales; Oleaceae. The record is from RNAcentral.
AAUAAAUACGAUGAAUAACCAAAAAAAAAAAAAAAAAAAAAAAAAAAAAAACAUAACCACAGAACAGAAAAAUAAAUGAACACCAAAAAUUGUUCACCCACUUCAGCAAACGCCUACUCUAGGGAGCUCAGAGAUCAGCCCAAGCAUUAAGCAUAAGAAAACCCUCUGAAGAGAAAGUACAGAUUAGGAAAAUUCAAUCAAACCCAGAUUUAAUCAUCUAUCUACAACUAGAUCUCUUAAAUUGCAAACCCUAACCUAAAUAUAACUAAGGACCUUUUACACUUGUAUAGAUACAAAGCCAACCACUAUUUCAGGUCUAAUUUACUGUAGCAACAUGAAUCACUCAGGAUUUUACAACAAAAUUUGGCUAGAGUUUCAUAAAAAAUCACAGAUGAAAACCAAAAAAACGAUUGAGAAUUAGAGAGAGAGAAAAUAACUUCAAGCCGAGAACCAAACUGAUUGAAUCAAUGUAACUAUUCCCAUCCCUAAAGUGUCAUAGCGGAGUGACCGAAUCACGACCGUAGAUUAGAUCCGCCAUGAAGACGAUUGAGAACUAGAGAGAGAAAAAAUAACUUCAAGCUAAGAACCAAA